Molecule: ribosomal RNA, 253 nt
Filed under: uncultured bacterium
Lineage: Bacteria
Description: partial 16S ribosomal RNA
Rfam family: Bacterial small subunit ribosomal RNA
Source: RNAcentral
GACAGAGGCGCCGAGCGUUAGGCGGAAUCACUGGGCUUAAAGCGUGUGUAGGCGGACCGUUAAGUGUCUUGUGAAAUCCCACGGCUCAACCGUGGAACGGCUGGGCAUACUGGCGGUCUUGAGAGGCCUAGGGGCGAGCGGAACAGGCGGUGGAGCGGUGAAAUGCGUAGAUAUCGCCUGGAACGCCGACGGUGAAAACAGCUCGCUGGGGGCCUUCUGACGCUGAGACGCGAAAGCGUGGGGAGCGAACAGG